Molecule: long non-coding RNA, 784 nt
Organism: Daucus carota subsp. sativus
Lineage: Eukaryota; Viridiplantae; Streptophyta; Magnoliopsida; Apiales; Apiaceae
Exons: 2
Source: RefSeq, a predicted model, not a curated record
GUAUGGAAGCAGGGUAUGGAAGCAGUACUGUAGAAAAUAACAACAGUACUGCUCGAAAUCCUUUUAGUCCUUUUAGUGUCAUUCACAUAUCAUCAGAACAAUAAUCUAGUAUUUACAUUCAUUUAUAUUCUUUUUAGUUGACUUGUUUUGUUGUAUUUUUUUGAUAUUGCAAAUUAAUUUUUUAACUUCAGGCCAAGACUCAAGGUAAGGAUCCAACUCCGGCCGAUGUUUAUCUUGUUACACAUACAGUGAAACAUGAUAAAAAGACAUUUGUUACCAAGAAAGCGGAACAAGUAUAUAAAAGGGUUGAGAAACUACGUGAGGAGCGUUCGGCACCUAUUGAAGGUUCUGAUGAACCUCAAGUUGUUGAUGAAGACCAAUUAUUUCUAGAGGCUGCUAGCGGACUAGACAAAAAGAACAGAGUUUAUGGCCUUGGCUCCUUGCAGAGUGUUAUUUAUGGAUCAGACUCUGGGAGCAGUCAGUACAGGCACUCCAACUUCAACAAUGAAGAAUACAAGCAAAUGCAGGUGGAGCUACAGGACAUGAAGAACCAAGUGAAGGAAUUGCAGGAGCUUAGAAAUCAAGAAUUAGAAGAGAUGAAGAAGCAGAUGGAAGAGAUGAAGAGCCAACUUGCUAUGGUGUUUAGUAUUCGGAAUGGAAAUUGAACACUAGUUUAAAACACUGUCUGCCUUAUAUUAUGUAUUUUGUAUGACUUGUGACUUAUGAAUUAAAUUUGGAUGCUUGGAUAUUGCCUUUUCUUGUUAAUUUAUGUAAUUUUUCUUUA